Molecule: ribosomal RNA, 497 nt
Filed under: uncultured bacterium
Lineage: Bacteria
Description: partial 16S ribosomal RNA
Rfam family: Bacterial small subunit ribosomal RNA
Source: RNAcentral
GAUGAACGCUGGCGGCGUGCCUAAUACAUGCAAGUCGAGCGAACAGACGAGGAGCUUGCUCCUUUGACGUUAGCGGCUGACGGGUGAGUAACACGUAGGUAACCUACCUAUAAGACUGGGAUAACUUCGGGAAACCGGAUCUAAUACCGGCUAAUAUUUCGAACCGCAUGGUUCGAUAGUGAAAGAUGGCUUUGCUAUCACUUAUAGAUGGACCUGCGCCGGAUUAGCUAGUUGGUAAGGUAACGGCUUACUAAGGCAACGAUACGUAGCCGACCUGAGAGGGUGAUCGGCCACACUGGAACUGAGACACGGUCCAGACUCCUACGGGAGGCAGCAGUAGGGAAUAUUCCGCAAUGGGCGAAAGCCUGACGGAGCAACGCCGCGUGAGUGAUGAAGGUCUUCGGAUCGUAAAACUCUGUUAUUAGGGAAGAACAAACGUGUAAGUAAAUGUGCACGUCUUGACGGUACCUAAUCAGAAAGCCACGGCUAACUACGUG